This 433-nucleotide ribosomal RNA is filed under the name uncultured bacterium. Its description in RNAcentral is "partial 16S ribosomal RNA". It matches the Rfam family "Bacterial small subunit ribosomal RNA", at positions 29 to 507 of the family's 1533-position model. The record is from RNAcentral.
AACGAACGCUGGCGGCAUGCCUAACACAUGCAAGUCGAACGAGACCUUCUGGUCUAGGGGCGCACGGGUGCGUAACGCGUGGGAACCUGCCCUUAGGUUCGGAAUAACUCCCCGAAAGGGGUGCUAAUACCGGAUAAUGUCUUCGGACCAAAGAUUUAUCGCCUUUGGAUGGGCCCGCGUUGGAUUAUCUAGUUGGUAGGGUAAAAGCCUACCAAGGCGACGAUCCAUAGCUGGUCUGAGAGGAUGAUCAGCCACACUGGGACUGAGACACGGCCCAGACUCCUACGGGAGGCAGCAGUGGGGAAUAUUGGACAAUGGGCGAAAGCCUGAUCCAGCAAUGCCGCGUGAGUGAUGAAGGCCUUAGGGUUGUACAGCUCUUUUCCCCGGGAUGAUAAUGACAGUACCGGGAGAAUAAGCUCCGGCUAACUCCGUG